CGAACGCUGGCGGCGUGCUUCAUACAUGCAAGUCGAACGAGAAAGCCCCCUUCGGGGGGUUAGUAGAGUGGCGAACGGGUGCGUAACACGUGAGCAAUCUGCCUCGAAGCCGGGGAUAACCCUUCUAACGGGGGGCUAAUACCGGAUGUGUUUACCGGAUGGCAUCGUCUGGUGAAUAAAGAUGGCGUGCUGAACGCUAUCACUUCGAGAUGAGCUCGCGGCCUAUUAGCUUGUUGGUGGGGUAAUGGCCUACCAAGGCAGCGAUGGGUAGCCGGCCUGAGAGGGUGACCGGCCACAUUGGGACUGAGAUACGGCCCAGACUCCUACGGGAGGCAGCAGUAGGGAAUAUUGCGCAAUGGGCGAAAGCCUGACGCAGCAACGCCGCGUGAGCGAUGAAGGCCUUCGGGUCGUAAAGCUCUGUCAGGCGGGAAGAAUCCCGGCCGAUGGAUAAUAUCGGCCGGCUGACGGUACCGCCAGAGGAAGCUCCGGCUAACUCC
RNAcentral lists this ribosomal RNA (497 nucleotides) under uncultured bacterium. RNAcentral's name for it is "bacterial SSU rRNA". It matches the Rfam family "Bacterial small subunit ribosomal RNA", at positions 30 to 504 of the family's 1533-position model. The record is from RNAcentral.